RNAcentral lists this unclassified non-coding RNA (238 nucleotides) under uncultured fungus. RNAcentral describes it as "sequence contains ITS1, 5.8S rRNA gene". The stretch from base 190 to 238 matches the Rfam family "5.8S ribosomal RNA", at positions 1 to 49 of the family's 154-position model. Lineage: Eukaryota; Fungi. The record is from RNAcentral.
UUUCCGUAGGUGAACCUGCGGAAGGAUCAUUAACGAGGAAGGGCUUGAGCCCGAACUCCCCACCCUUGUGCCGUCGCGAACACGUUGCUUCGGCGGGCCGCCCCCUCCCGAGGGGACGUCGCCCGCCGGGGGACCGAAACAACCCUGCAUUCAACCGUGAGGUCGGAGUACAAGGUACAAUCAAAGCAAAACUUUCAACAACGGAUCUCUUGGUUCUGGCAUCGAUGAAGAACGCAGC